RNAcentral lists this ribosomal RNA (432 nucleotides) under uncultured bacterium. RNAcentral's name for it is "bacterial SSU rRNA". It matches the Rfam family "Bacterial small subunit ribosomal RNA", at positions 28 to 487 of the family's 1533-position model. The record is from RNAcentral.
GAUGAACGCUGGCGGCGUGCCUAACACAUGCAAGUCGAGCGAUUCUCUUCGGAGAAGAGCGGCGGACGGGUGAGUAACGCGUGGGUAACCUGCCCUGUACACACGGAUAACAUACCGAAAGGUAUGCUAAUACGAGAUAAUAUGCUUUUAUCGCAUGGUAGAAGUAUCAAAGCUUUUGCGGUACAGGAUGGACCCGCGUCUGAUUAGCUAGUUGGUAAGGUAACGGCUUACCAAGGCGACGAUCAGUAGCCGACCUGAGAGGGUGAUCGGCCACAUUGGAACUGAGACACGGUCCAAACUCCUACGGGAGGCAGCAGUGGGGAAUAUUGCACAAUGGGCGAAAGCCUGAUGCAGCAACGCCGCGUGAGCGAUGAAGGCCUUCGGGUCGUAAAGCUCUGUCCUCAAGGAAGAUAAUGACGGUACUUGAGGAGG